RNAcentral lists this ribosomal RNA (472 nucleotides) under uncultured bacterium. Its description in RNAcentral is "partial 16S ribosomal RNA". It matches the Rfam family "Bacterial small subunit ribosomal RNA", at positions 28 to 507 of the family's 1533-position model. The record is from RNAcentral.
GACGAACGCUGGCGGCGUGCUUAACACAUGCAAGUCGAACGCUGAAGCUUGGUGCUUGCACUGGGUGGAUGAGUGGCGAACGGGUGAGUAAUACGUGAGUAACCUGCCCUUGACUCUGGGAUAAGCCUGGGAAACUGGGUCUAAUACUGGAUACGACAUGUCACUGCAUGGUGGUGUGUGGAAAGGGUUUUACUGGUUUUGGAUGGGCUCACGGCCUAUCAGCUUGUUGGUGGGGUAAUGGCUCACCAAGGCGACGACGGGUAGCCGGCCUGAGAGGGUGACCGGCCACACUGGGACUGAGACACGGCCCAGACUCCUACGGGAGGCAGCAGUGGGGAAUAUUGCACAAUGGGCGGAAGCCUGAUGCAGCGACGCCGCGUGAGGGAUGACGGCCUUCGGGUUGUAAACCUCUUUCAGCACGGAAGAAGCGAAAGUGACGGUACGUGCAGAAGAAGCGCCGGCUAACUACGUG